Molecule: small nucleolar RNA, 106 nt
Organism: Lactuca sativa (garden lettuce)
Lineage: Eukaryota; Viridiplantae; Streptophyta; Magnoliopsida; Asterales; Asteraceae
Source: RefSeq, a predicted model, not a curated record
AGAUUGUGUUGAGGGAAAUUUCUUAGCAAUCCUUUGUAUCUCUCCCAAGCUUCAUAUAAGGACUCAUUGUCGUUUGCUGAAAAUUUGUUAUCUUCUUCUUGAGUUU